Peromyscus eremicus (cactus mouse) is the source of this 2669-nucleotide long non-coding RNA. RefSeq lists it as uncharacterized. Lineage: Eukaryota; Metazoa; Chordata; Mammalia; Rodentia; Cricetidae. The transcript has 3 exons. The record is from RefSeq and is a predicted model, not a curated record.
ACAGGCAAAUGCAAGUCAAAGCAACAUACAGUGAAUACUCUUAUUUGUAUUAACAAAAAAAUUACAAACAAGCUGGGUAGGGUGGGACAUGCCUUUAACCCAGCAUUUAGGAAGCUGAGGCAGAGAAUUAUUAUGAACUCAGGGCCAGCUUGGGCUAUGAUAGUGAAACCCAAUCUCAAAACCACCAAGAAAGAACCAGGCAUGGUGGCUCAUGCCUUUAAAACCCAGUACUCAAGAGGCAGAGGCAGGAGGAUCUCUGAUUUCGAGGCUAACCUGGUCUACACAGAGAAACUCUGUCUUGAAAAACAACAACAAUGACGACGACAAUAAAAAAAGCAUCAAAGGAAAAAAAAAACUACGUAAAUAAACUUCUGCAUGUGUGCAUGUGCACGCAGAGGUAUUCUUAUAAUCUACAGAACAUGAUCUGUCCAAAAAGACUUAAGUCAAACCAUGAAGAGUGGUUACUUUCGUGGAAUGAUUCUGGGACUGUGUGAAAAAGAACAUAUUUUGAUGCUGUUUAUACCAUUUUCAAUAAAUAUGCUGUUUUGUUAUUAAAAGUGUCAAAAGGUAGAAAACUUGCAGCCUAAAGGAGAAAAGCUGGGCCUGAUGAACGAGUGUCUUCCGUUGACUUUUCCACUCAGAAGCCUGCUCUGCAAACCUGAGUCAGCCCCUGCUCUCACGGCCCUGCCCCAAACCUGCUGUAGUUCUCCUCGGGCCCUCUCUCUUCCGCGUCAGCCUCAUCGGUCCUGUCAUACGUCAGGAGGUCUGCAGGGACAUCAUGAAUCUGGACACUCGGUGCAUGGUUCAGCAUCUUCAAGUUUUCAAAGAUUGUCUGGCGGAUCUGGUCCAGAUACUAGUAGAGAGGAAAGAAAAGUCAGCAGCUCCUGGGUGAUCCCCAGAGAACACACCCUUCUCUCUGCCUUCUACCCUGACAGUCCUGGUUUUAAGUAGUAUUUCGAGUUCAGACAGUUGACAACUGUCCUUACUUUAUCCUGGGCUGCCCUGAGAUGGUAAGAGAGACAGCGACAGCCAGAACUUCCUUCUCUUGCUUUCUCCUACUUCCCACCUCCCGGACCUCUCCUGAGUCCUCUUCAUCGCCGUGUCCGGCUUCUCCAAGCUGCUAACCUGUCGUGAGUUCUGAUUCUCGAUGCGGGUGCUGACGUCUGGAUGGAGCGUGAAGUCGGGGGCAAAGUACUCGAAGUAUUCUUAGAGAUAAGAAGGAAUUGGAGAGGGGAUGAACCAUUAGUAUGGCUGAGAUACAAAAAGGGAGUCCACAGCGAACCACAAAAGAGAAAGAGAACAGAGUACUCACCAGCACCUGGCAACGUUUCGGACAGUGUAGCCACCACCACCCAGCACCAGGAGAGGGAUAUUGAAGCUCUUGACAUAUUCAACACAUUCCCUGUUAGAAGCAAUCAGAGGACUGGGUGAAUCCAAGACAUGUGACCCCAGUAUGUGUAUUUGCGUAUGGGCAAGGAUACACAGACACACACAUCAUGAUGAUGAUGAUGAUGAUGAUGGUGAUGGUGAUGAUGAUGAAAUACAACUUUAAAUAAGAACAACAAGAACAAGCAGGCAGGCAGUUCUCACCCAUGUCCUCGGAUGCUGAGAUUGAAACAGCCUAAUCGAUCACAGCCCAGGGAGUCAGCUCCACACUGCAAAAAAGAAAAACCCAGAUGGCUACGGUAACAUGAACGAUCAGAAAACCAGUGUCCUCCCUCACCACUUUGGGGAACUUCUUCUUCCCCGAUCUCCUUCCUCAAGCCCAGGAAAGCCCUCUUAGGGAGGCGCGAACAGCAUUACCUGGAGCACGAUGCACGUAGGUUGGUAGAAGUCCACCACCUGGCUGAUGACUGGCUGGAAAAGGUGCUUGUAACCUGGGAGAGGGCCAAAGGUGGGCAACCUGGCACCCCAAGGGGAUGGGGAGACAGGGAACAAAAGGAAAAAGGGGGUUGAGAGAGCAUGUAGCCCAGGAAAGGGGCAACCCACAGAACCAACCACUGGUUCUGAACUUCGGGAGGGUGCCACAAACUGCUAUGAGUGACUGACUAACAACCUUCUUCCCAGAAAAAUAAAUAAGUAAAUGAAACACACAUAUACAUAAUAUAUUGCAUACAAAUUCCAGAGGUUCACGGUCCCUCUGAAGGUCAUUCAUCCUUGGCCCAACAAUAGACAAUACCAGGCAGAAAAGGGUUAAUUGAAAGAGAAAAAGAAGGGGAAAGUGAGCAUGGGAGGUCAUCAGUACUUACUCUGAUCAUCAAUGCCGUCCCGUAAGGGCACAUUGAGACAAUAGUAGCGGCCACUCUCUGCUCCAACUUCAUACAUGUCACCUAUAGAAAAGUGGGUACAGCAGCCAUGCACAGUAAGUUUCCAUAACACAGCUGUUCCUUCUGUGCCCUCUACCAUGUGCUCUCUAAGGCUCCAGCAUUCACUCAAUACAGGGGCACAGCUAUAUAACUCAGGCUAGCCAGGAACCUGCUAUAUUGCUCAGGCUAGCUUUGAACUCUCACUUCCCCUGCCUCCUCCUGCUGAUUGCUGGGAUUACAGCUAUGUGCUUUCCUGCCUGGUUCAUGCCUGGUGUCCAUGGAGGUCAGAAGAGGGCAUCAGAUCUUCUGGAACUGGGAGUUACAGACAGUUGUGAGCUGCCAUGUGAGUGGUGGGAACAGAAC